RNAcentral lists this ribosomal RNA (253 nucleotides) under uncultured bacterium. Its description in RNAcentral is "partial 16S ribosomal RNA". It matches the Rfam family "Bacterial small subunit ribosomal RNA", at positions 524 to 776 of the family's 1533-position model. The record is from RNAcentral.
UACGAAGGGGGCUAGCGUUGCUCGGAAUCACUGGGCGUAAAGCGCACGUAGGCGGCUUUUUAAGUCAGGGGUGAAAUCCUGGAGCUCAACUCCAGAACUGCCUUUGAUACUGGGAAGCUUGAGUCCGGGAGAGGUGAGUGGAACUCCGAGUGUAGAGGUGAAACUCGUAGAUAUUCGGAAGAACACCAGUGGCGAAGGCGGCUCACUGGCCCGGUACUGACGCUGAGGUGCGAAAGCGUGGGGAGCAAACAGG